Molecule: non-coding RNA, 78 nt
Organism: Potamilus streckersoni
Lineage: Eukaryota; Metazoa; Mollusca; Bivalvia; Unionida; Unionidae
Source: the annotation of a GenBank genome assembly
GCUCUGAUGGCCUAUUGGUAAGAGCGACCGCCUUAGGUGCGGGAUGUAGCGGGUUCGAAGUCCGGCCAAGUCUGAGUC